RNAcentral lists this ribosomal RNA (482 nucleotides) under uncultured bacterium. RNAcentral's name for it is "partial 16S ribosomal RNA". It matches the Rfam family "Bacterial small subunit ribosomal RNA", at positions 29 to 507 of the family's 1533-position model. The record is from RNAcentral.
AUUGAACGCUGGCGGCAUGCUUUACACAUGCAAGUCGAACGGUAACAGGCCGCAAGGUGCUGACGAGUGGCGAACGGGUGAGUAAUGCAUCGGAACGUGCCCAGUCGUGGGGGAUAACUACUCGAAAGAGUAGCUAAUACCGCAUACGAUCUAUGGAUGAAAGCGGGGGACCGUAAGGCCUCGCGCGAUUGGAGCGGCCGAUGUCAGAGUAGGUAGUUGGUGGGGUAAAGGCUCACCAAGCCAACGAUCUGUAGCUGGUCUGAGAGGACGACCAGCCACACGGGGACUGAGACACGGACCAGACUCCUACGAGAGGGAGCAGUGGGGAAUUGUGGACAAUGGGCGCAAGCCUGAUCCAGCAAUGCCGCGUGCAGGAAGAAGGCCUUCGGGUUGUAAACUGCUUUUGUACGGAACGAAACGGCUCUGGUUAAUACCCGGGGCUAAUGACGGUACCGGAAGAAUAAGCACCGGCUAACUACGUG